Molecule: ribosomal RNA, 207 nt
Filed under: uncultured bacterium
Lineage: Bacteria
Description: partial 16S ribosomal RNA
Rfam family: Bacterial small subunit ribosomal RNA
Source: RNAcentral
UGCGCAGGCGGUUAUAUAAGACAGAUGUGAAAUCCCCGGGCUCAACCUGGGAACUGCCUCCAAAACUACUGAGCUAGAGUACGGUAGAGGGUAGUGGAAUUUCCUGUGUAGCGGUGAAAUGCGUAGAUAUAGGAAGGAACACCAGUGGCGAAGGCGACCACCUGGACUGAUACUGACACUGAGGUGCGAAAGCGUGGGGAGCAAACA